UACGUAGGGGGCUAGCGUUGCUCGGAAUGACUGGGCGUAAAGGGCGCGUAGGCGGUUCGUACAGUCAGACGUGAAAUUCCCGGGCUCAACCUGGGGGCUGCGUUUGAUACGUGCGGGCUUGAGUUCGGAAGAGGGUCGUGGAAUUCCUAGUGUAGCGGUGAAAUGCGUAGAGAUUAGGAAGAACACCAGUGGCGAAGGCGACUUACUGGACUGUAACUGACGCUGAGGCAUGAAAGCGUGGGGAGCAAACAGG
This 253-nucleotide ribosomal RNA is filed under the name uncultured bacterium. Its description in RNAcentral is "partial 16S ribosomal RNA". It matches the Rfam family "Bacterial small subunit ribosomal RNA", at positions 524 to 776 of the family's 1533-position model. The record is from RNAcentral.